This 1783-nucleotide ribosomal RNA is filed under the name Clostridioides difficile. Its description in RNAcentral is "partial 23S ribosomal RNA". It matches the Rfam family "Bacterial large subunit ribosomal RNA", at positions 76 to 1716 of the family's 2925-position model. Lineage: Bacteria; Bacillati; Bacillota; Clostridia; Peptostreptococcales; Peptostreptococcaceae. The record is from RNAcentral.
CCCUGGGGAGUUGGUGAGCGAGCUGUGAUCCGGGGGUGUCCGAAUGGGGAAACCUGGAAUGUCCGGAGUAGUGUCCGGUGGCCCUGCCCUGAAUGUAUAGGGGUGUGGGUGGUAACGCGGGGAAGUGAAACAUCUUAGUACCCGUAGGAAGAGAAAACAAGUGUGAUUCCGUGAGUAGUGGCGAGCGAAAGCGGAGGAGGCUAAACCGUGUGUGUGUUCAAGCCGGCAGGUGUUGCAUGUGCGGGGUUGUGGGGGCCUUGUGGUUCUGCUGCCGCAGGAUUGGCCAGUGAGAAAUGUUGCGUGAAGGUGAAGCGUCUGGGAAGGCGUACCGGAGUGGGUGAGAGUCCUGUAACUGUAAGCGUGGCACUGGUGUGGGGUUGCCCCGAGUAGCGUGGGACUCGUGGAAUUUCGCGUGAAUCUGGCGGGACCACCCGUCAAGCCUAAAUACUCCUUGGUGACCGAUAGUGGAUGAGUACCGUGAGGGAAGGGUGAAAAGUACCCCGGGAGGGGAGUGAAAGAGUUCCUGAAACCGGUCGCAUGCAAGCCGUCAGAGCCUGUGUGGUGAUGGCGUGCCUUUUGAAGAAUGAGCCUGCGAGUUAGUGAUGCGUGGCGAGGUUAACCCGUGGUGGGGGAGUCGUAGCGAAAGCGAGUCCGAUAAGGGCGUGAGUCGCGUGUUCUAGACCCGAAGCGGUGUGAUCUAUCCAUGGCCAGGAUGAAGCGUCGGUAAGACGUCGUGGAGGUCCGAACCCACUUCAGUUGAAAAUGGAGGGGAUGAGUUGUGGAUAGGGGUGAAAGGCCAAUCAAACACCGUGAUAGCUGGUUCUCCCCGAAAUGCAUUUAGGUGCAGCGUUGCGUGGUUCUUGUUGGAGGUAGAGCACUGGAUGGUCUAGGGGGCUUAUCGGCUUACCGAAAUCAGCCAAACUCCGAAUGCUGGCAAGUGUAGCGUGGCAGUGAGACGGCGGGGGAUAAGCUUCGUCGUCGAGAGGGAAACAGCCCAGAUCAUCAGCUAAGGCCCCUAAGUGGUGACUCAGUGGGAAAGGAUGUGGAGUUGCGUAGACAACCAGGAGGUUGGCUUGGAAGCAGCCAUCCUUGAAAGAGUGCGUAAUAGCUCACUGGUCAAGUGAUUCCGCGCCGAUAAUGUAGCGGGGCUUAAGUUAUCCGCCGAAGCUGUGGCAACCUGUGUGGUUGGGUAGGGGAGCGUCGUGUCAGUGGUGAAGCUGCCGGGUGACUGUGUGGUGGAGUUGAUGCGAGUGAGAAUGCAGGCAUGAGUAGCGUGUGACGGGUGGGAAUCCCGUCCGCCGAUUAUCCAAGGGUUCCAGGGUCAAGUUUGUCUGCCCUGGGUGAGUCGGGUCCUAAGGCGAGGCCGACAGGCGUAGUCGAUGGGUAACCAGUUGAUAUUCUGGUACCGGCUUGUCACCGUCCGUGUCGAGGUGUGUGAUGCUAAGCAUGUGAGCUUGUCUUGGGAGUGUUUUUGAUGCUUCUGGGGUGGGUGAGUGUGUGAACCGAUCAUGUAGUAGGCAAGCUGCGGAGGGACGCAGUGAGGUAGCUCAUCCCCGGUGAUGGUUGUCCGGGGCUAAGUGUGUGGACUGUCUGGUAGGUAAAUCCGCUGGGCGUGAAGGUUGAGGCAUGAUGGGGAGCCCAUGGUUGUGGGUGAGUGAGUGAUCCUGUACUGUCGAGAAAAGCUUCGUGAGCGAGGUGGCGGGUCCGCCCGUACCCUAAACCGACACUGGUGGAUAGGUAGAGUAUACCGAGGCGAUCGAGUGAAUCGUGGUGAAGGAACUCG